CUGCUGCCUCCCGUAGGAGUUUGGACCGUGUCUCAGUUCCAAUGUGGGGGACCUUCCUCUCAGAACCCCUAUCCAUCGUUGUCUUGGUGGGCCGUUACCCCGCCAACUAACUAAUGGAACGCAUCCCCAUCCCAUACCGAAAUUCUUUAAUAAUCCCAUCAUGCGGUAGGACUAUAACAUCGGGUAUUAAUCUUUCUUUCGAAAGGCUAUCCCCGAGUAUGAGGCAGGUUGGAUACGUGUUACUCACUCGUGCGCCGGUCGCCAUCAAAAG
Molecule: ribosomal RNA, 271 nt
Filed under: uncultured bacterium
Lineage: Bacteria
Description: partial 16S ribosomal RNA
Source: RNAcentral